This 842-nucleotide ribosomal RNA is filed under the name Staphylococcus epidermidis MC16. RNAcentral describes it as "bacterial SSU rRNA". It matches the Rfam family "Bacterial small subunit ribosomal RNA", at positions 1 to 824 of the family's 1533-position model. Lineage: Bacteria; Bacillati; Bacillota; Bacilli; Caryophanales; Staphylococcaceae. The record is from RNAcentral.
UUUUAUGGAGAGUUUGAUCCUGGCUCAGGAUGAACGCUGGCGGCGUGCCUAAUACAUGCAAGUCGAGCGAACAGACGAGGAGCUUGCUCCUCUGACGUUAGCGGCGGACGGGUGAGUAACACGUGGAUAACCUACCUAUAAGACUGGGAUAACUUCGGGAAACCGGAGCUAAUACCGGAUAAUAUAUUGAACCGCAUGGUUCAAUAGUGAAAGACGGUUUUGCUGUCACUUAUAGAUGGAUCCGCGCCGCAUUAGCUAGUUGGUAAGGUAACGGCUUACCAAGGCAACGAUGCGUAGCCGACCUGAGAGGGUGAUCGGCCACACUGGAACUGAGACACGGUCCAGACUCCUACGGGAGGCAGCAGUAGGGAAUCUUCCGCAAUGGGCGAAAGCCUGACGGAGCAACGCCGCGUGAGUGAUGAAGGUCUUCGGAUCGUAAAACUCUGUUAUUAGGGAAGAACAAAUGUGUAAGUAACUAUGCACGUCUUGACGGUACCUAAUCAGAAAGCCACGGCUAACUACGUGCCAGCAGCCGCGGUAAUACGUAGGUGGCAAGCGUUAUCCGGAAUUAUUGGGCGUAAAGCGCGCGUAGGCGGUUUUUUAAGUCUGAUGUGAAAGCCCACGGCUCAACCGUGGAGGGUCAUUGGAAACUGGAAAACUUGAGUGCAGAAGAGGAAAGUGGAAUUCCAUGUGUAGCGGUGAAAUGCGCAGAGAUAUGGAGGAACACCAGUGGCGAAGGCGACUUUCUGGUCUGUAACUGACGCUGAUGUGCGAAAGCGUGGGGAUCAAACAGGAUUAGAUACCCUGGUAGUCCACGCCGUAAACGAUGAGUGCUAAGUGUU